ACUUCGUUAGGUUUGAACGGAAAUCCUUUUUUGUGGCUGGAAAAGCUAUGGCAAAAAGAUUGGGAGUGGAAGACGGAUCAAGC
RNAcentral lists this unclassified non-coding RNA (83 nucleotides) under Epilithonimonas lactis. RNAcentral's name for it is "Chryseobacterium halperniae Flavo-1 RNA". Lineage: Bacteria; Pseudomonadati; Bacteroidota; Flavobacteriia; Flavobacteriales; Weeksellaceae. The record is from RNAcentral.